Molecule: ribosomal RNA, 232 nt
Filed under: uncultured bacterium
Lineage: Bacteria
Description: partial 16S ribosomal RNA
Rfam family: Bacterial small subunit ribosomal RNA
Source: RNAcentral
CGGACGGGUGAGUAAUGUCUGGGAAACUGCCUGAUGGAGGGGGAUAACUACUGGAAACGGUAGCUAAUACCGCAUAACGUCGCAAGACCAAAGAGGGGGACCUUAGGGCCUCUUGCCAUCGGAUGUGCCCAGAUGGGAUUAGCUAGUAGGUAGGGUAACGGCUCACCUAGGCGACGAUCCCUAGCUGGUCUGAGAGGAUGACCAGCCACACUGGAACUGAGACACGGUCCAG